RNAcentral lists this ribosomal RNA (301 nucleotides) under uncultured bacterium. RNAcentral's name for it is "partial 16S ribosomal RNA". It matches the Rfam family "Bacterial small subunit ribosomal RNA", at positions 509 to 807 of the family's 1533-position model. The record is from RNAcentral.
CAGUCGCCACGGGAAUACAGAGGGUGCAAGCGUUAAUCGGAAUUACUGGGCGUAAAGUGCGCGUAGGUGGUUUGUUAAGUUGGAUGUGAAAUCCCCGGGCUCAACCUGGGAACUGCAUCCAAAACUGGCAAGCUAGAGUAUGGUAGAGGGUGGUGGAAUUUCCUGUGUAGCGGUGAAAUGCGUAGAUAUAGGAAGGAACACCAGUGGCGAAGGCGACCACCUGGACUGAUACUGACACUGAGGUGCGAAAGCGUGGGGAGCAAACAGGAUUAGAUACCCCAGUAGUCCCUGUCUCUUAUAC